UACGAAGGGGGCUAGCGUUGCUCGGAAUGACUGGGCGUAAAGGGCGCGUAGGCGGUUUGUACAGUCAGGUGUGAAAUUCCCGGGCUCAACCUGGGGGCUGCACUUGAUACGUAGGAACUGGAGUGGGGAAGAGGGUCGUGGAAUUCCCAGUGUAGAGGUGAAAUUCGUAGAUAUUGGGAAGAACACCGGUGGCGAAGGCGGCGACCUGGUCCUUGACUGACGCUGAGGCGCGAAGCGUGGGGAGCAAACAG
RNAcentral lists this ribosomal RNA (251 nucleotides) under uncultured bacterium. RNAcentral describes it as "partial 16S ribosomal RNA". It matches the Rfam family "Bacterial small subunit ribosomal RNA", at positions 524 to 775 of the family's 1533-position model. The record is from RNAcentral.